RNAcentral lists this ribosomal RNA (497 nucleotides) under uncultured bacterium. Its description in RNAcentral is "partial 16S ribosomal RNA". It matches the Rfam family "Bacterial small subunit ribosomal RNA", at positions 28 to 507 of the family's 1533-position model. The record is from RNAcentral.
GAUGAACGCUGGCGGCGUGCCUAAUACAUGCAAGUCGAGCGAACAGAUGAGGAGCUUGCUCCUCUGACGUUAGCGGCGGACGGGUGAGUAACACGUGGAUAACCUACCUAUAAGACUGGGAUAACUUCGGGAAACCGGAGCUAAUACCGGAUAAUAUAUUGAACCGCAUGGUUCAAUAGUGAAAGACGGUUUUGCUGUCACUUAUAGAUGGAUCCGCGCCGCAUUAGCUAGUUGGUAAGGUAACGGCUUACCAAGGCAACGAUGCGUAGCCGACCUGAGAGGGUGAUCGGCCACACUGGAACUGAGACACGGUCCAGACUCCUACGGGAGGCAGCAGUAGGGAUUCUUCCGCAAUGGGCGAAAGCCUGACGGAGCAACGCCGCGUGAGUGAUGAAGGUCUUCGGAUCGUAAAACUCUGUUAUUAGGGAAGAACAAAUGUGUAAGUAACUAUGCACGUCUUGACGGUACCUAAUCAGAAAGCCACGGCUAACUACGUG